Molecule: ribosomal RNA, 433 nt
Filed under: uncultured bacterium
Lineage: Bacteria
Description: partial 16S ribosomal RNA
Rfam family: Bacterial small subunit ribosomal RNA
Source: RNAcentral
AACGAACGCUGGCGGCAUGCCUAACACAUGCAAGUCGAACGAGAACUUCGGGCCAAGUGGCGAACGGGUGCGUAAGGCGUAGUAACCUGCCCUUAGGUUCGGAAUCACUCCCCAAAAGGAGUGGUAAUACCGGCUAAUGCCUCCGGACCAAAUAUUUAUAGCCUUUGGGGGGGCCCGCGUUGGAUUAGUUAGUUGGUAGGGUAAAAGACUACGAAGGCGACGAUCCAUAGCUGGACUGAGAGGAUGAUCAGCGACACUGAGACUGGGACGCGGCCCAGACUCCUACGGGAUGCAGGAGUGGCUGAUAUUGGACUAUCGGCUGAAGCCUGAUCCAGCUAGGCCUCUUGAGUGAUGAAGUCCGGAGGGUUGUAGAGCUCUUUUACACGCGAGGAUAAUGACAGUACCGUAAGAAUAAGCUCCGGCUAACUCCGUG